CCCGCCGCCCGCGCGCAAGGCAGCCUGGGAGCUGUAGUCCGCAGCCUCAGCCCCGCUCGCGGCGCCCCGCGCGGCCGCCCGCCUUCCGAACUACAAGUCCCGGCGUGAGCGGGGCAUGCGUGGCUAGGCGGCUGAGAGAGCUCGGGUCCUCGGGCCCGCCCGUGGCUGUGGGUUUUUAAAUCAAAGGGAGGUGGCAAAUGGAGAACUAUAGAGGCACUCGACAGUUUUCAUAAUUAUAGUAUGAGAACAAGAAAGAAUCCUUGUGACAGCAUUGCCAGUAGGUGUGGACAAAGAUGUCUGUACCAAGAUGAAGGAAAACAAUUCUGCCGUUGUCAUUCCAUAAGGCAAAAUGUCAGCUGGGCGGCUUGGGUGGGCCAUACCCACUGCCAGGGAUGGACCAGAGGGACCUCAGCAAAGGUCCUGCCUUGAAAAUGGAGUCUGGAGGAUGGACAAGGCCGUAAGCAAAGUGGUAAUGUCUGCAGUAGUCUUAAGGCUUUUAGCAAUGGUAAAUCCUUCAGUUUUCUCAAAUGAUAUGCACUUAAUAGCAUUAUAGCCAACUAGCUCAGAUUUGAUAGCUUACAAAGCUAAGAGUUUGUUAACAUUUCAUUUAUAAAGGAUAAGAAGGGAAAUUUUUAUUCCCAAAAAAUAACUAAACUGGAAGUUAGGACCUCAAAGAAAAGUAAACGGGAGAAAAGAAUGAGACAGAGAACUGUGGCCUUCUCUGCAAAGACAUAAGGCUAUUGCUGCUUCUGUACCUGACUCAAAUACCCAAGUCAACCAUUGGCAAAAGAAGUAGAAAGUUUGCCUUCUGCUUCCCCAAGGACUUCAGUGAAUGAGAUUACCUGUGCUGGGAGCCAUACAGAGGCAAGCAAAAGGGAGUGAAUGUUUUAGUGCCCAUGUGUCAAUACUAUUGGUGAAUAUGGAGGCUACAGUCAUUCAAUGUCUCCCAUCUCUGCUGUUGCUGUUUUUUCUCAGCUGGGAAUCAGAUCCUCUGUACUGGAAGACAAAGGGGAAGAUGCCCUGCUUCAAAACUAGACCCUCCUUGCAUAUGUGAAAACACAUAUGCCACACUGGCUGGCUGAUGCUGCAGAGAGAAGAGAAUGAAGAUGGGGAAAAUUAGAGUCCUUUGAGUCUCCUUGUUUCCUUCCAACCCUGAGAGAAUGUGUUUAUUCUGAAUUAUGGAUCACAUUUUUUGUGAACCAUGGAACUCUCGAGUUACACUGUUUGUAGUUCACUACUUGCUUGCUGCAGUGGUUCAUCUCUCAGGAUGGAAAAGGUGAACCAUAAAUUCAGAAAGAAUGUUUUAAUUCUAUUUCUGAUGUGAACUUUGGGCCAAAUUUCAAAUCUAGAGGGAGAGAGGUCAGCUGUGUUUGUAGGUCCAAAGAUUAUAUGCAAGAAAUCAAGCAUUUAGACAAACAACCAAGAGAUUAGGAAUUCAUGGAUUUGUUGCCACACAUUAUUUAUUCAGCUAAGAUUUUCUUGCAUAACUUCAAGUAGUGUUAUGCAUACUGGAAUUUCCUGGCAUGAACCCAGAAGCAAGUAUUAAUGUAUGAUUAAUUCUUAAGUUUAGUAUAGUGAUACCUCUCAAGUAGUUACUUGUUUUUAAAAGAAAAAAAAAAUUACAUUACAUUAACUGGGUAGGAAACUAAAUCUCUCCAUUACCCAGCGGGGGUUCCCCAGCCCUGUGACAAGCUCUCAAGCUCCAAUACAUUUUAGUCAACACAGGCAUAUUUUGUCAAAACUUCUGAAGAAUGCUGACCUAGGACAAGCCAUAGAAGAAAAACUGACAUAAAACGUAGAGCUAAUUGUGCAAUGCUUUAUGUGGAAAAAUGACUUCCUGAUGCCAGUGUUAGUAGGUGGUUUUUUCAAGUGUGGCGUUUAGAGAUCUACAUUUGGUUCUUCCAGAUAUAAAUAUUUUGCAUAUGAAUAUAACUUGUUAUAUCCAUGUAUAUUAACUAUUGUAUUCAAUGCCUCUUCUCUCUUUUUACCUGAUAUUUUUCAACACAGGUGAUCCUCUUAUAUACUUUUAGAUUUCUUAUUGUUUAAAAUGUCAUCCACGAACUCACAGGUAUUUACUCUGUGAACCCCUUGUUCUAGAGAAGCUGAGUAGUGCCCAUGUAGCUGGAAAGUUGCACAAUGAGCUUCUAACACACGGAGCUGAGAGAGCUGACUGAAAUGCAAGCUGUAAACAGACAGAUAUGUAAAAAUAGCUCUAAGUCCAUAAGUUUGGGAACAUUUUUGCAGCUUUAAGAAUCUUUGAUUUGGUAAGCAACAUAAACUAUCUAUUGCGUAUUUGAUUAUUCCUGAAUAGAUAAAGCUAAAAUCAAGUUUACCUCAGAGCGUUCUGUCAUAACUCUAGGGAAAUGGCAUUUGAUACAAACUUGUGUUAAUAAAAACAAACCACAAAAUCCAUUUUCCUAGAGUAGGGUGAAUGACUUCUCUUAUGUCAAAAGUACAUAUAUGUAUUGGAGCCAAACAGGUUUUCCAUGACGGAAACAUGCUGGAGACUUGAAGGCAGGUAGACCCUGCCCUCCUUCUGAAGGAACUCAGAGGAGGUUUGGAAAAGAUCCAAAGGUCUUUAGACACAAACAUCCUUGUGGGUUCAGUCGAUUUUCCAGAGGAGUGAAUUUUGUAACUCCAGAGGCUAGUGGGGGACUUCAGAGGGGUUUUAUUAUGCCCCUGUUUGUAUUCCUAUUUAAGACCACUUAUUAUUUCACUUAGCUUGCAAACUAAUAAUAGGGCUAAGUUAAGCAAGCAUCAAUUUAAUUCCAUUGUCUUUAUAACUUUAUUUCUCUGGAGGCAUGAAAAGAGAUGAAAACAGUGAAUGAAGUGUAAACGAAUGUCCUAUAGAAUGGAUGUGUAUCUGUUACAAGCAUUAACCAUGACGAUCUACAGAUUAUCCAAUUUUUGUUAUUUUAGGUUAACAACAAAAUGUGACUUUGCCAAAUGCAGAUUCAGUUCCCAGGGCGUUCAAUACAGUAGCACGUAUCAUGGCAUUUCAGAGUUUGCUGUGAAAAGAAGCACUGCAAAAAGUUUUUUCACUUAGGUAGAGAAUAUCAGAACAAACCCAAAUGGGAAGUUUUUCUAUACUGUCUUGCAUAACAAGGUCAAGCAGAGAAUCUGUUAAGACAAAAAAACAGUGACAAUUUAGAUAAAUCAGAUGUUUUUGCUGAAGAUUAUGCUGUCAUUUUCUCCAAUUAUUCUUGACAUUUCACCCAAUCGUAUUGUGAUCUGAGUUAAUAAUGGAAGAAAAAAAACAGCUCUUGUUGCCUUGUUUAUGCUUUGUUCUCAAGGAGAUAAGCUGUUUAUAAGGAUAUUUGUUAUUUAAAUCACUUUUACUGAAGUUGUUUGUUUCCUUGUUUG
Long non-coding RNA from Meleagris gallopavo (turkey), 3363 nucleotides. RefSeq lists it as uncharacterized. The record is from RefSeq and is a predicted model, not a curated record. NCBI's taxonomy places the organism in Eukaryota, Metazoa, Chordata, Aves, Galliformes, Phasianidae.